GGAUGACCGCUAGCGACAGGCUUACCACAUGCAAGUCGAGGGGCAUCGCGGCGGUGGCGACACCGCUGGCGGCGACCGGCGCACUGGUGAGUAACACGUAUGCGACCUGCCCCCUACAGGGGAAUAACCCGCGGAAACGCGGCCUAAUGCCCCAUAGUCCCGUCAGGCCUAUGCCUUUCGGGGGAAAGGUCCGCCGGUAGGGGAUGGGCAUGCGGCGCAUUAGCUAGUUGGCGGGGCAACGGCCCACCAAGGCUACGAUGCGUAGGGGCUCUGAGAGGAGUGUCCCCCACACUGGCACUGAGACACGGGCCAGACUCCUACGGGAGGCAGCAGUGAGGAAUAUUGGUCAAUGGGCGUUAGCCUGAACCAGCCAAGUCGCGUGAGGGAAGUAGGUCCUCAGGAUCGUGAACCUCUUUAGCCGGGGAGCAACGCGGCCCACGCGUGGGCCGGUGAGCGUACCCGGAGAAUAAGCAUCGGCUAACUCCGUG
RNAcentral lists this ribosomal RNA (488 nucleotides) under uncultured bacterium. RNAcentral describes it as "partial 16S ribosomal RNA". It matches the Rfam family "Bacterial small subunit ribosomal RNA", at positions 27 to 507 of the family's 1533-position model. The record is from RNAcentral.